UCAGCAGCCCGCGGUAAUUCCAGCUCCAAUAGCGUAUAUUAAAGUUGUUGCAGUUAAAAAGCUCGUAGUUGAACCUUGGGUCUGGCUGGCCGGUCCGCCUCACCGCGAGUACUGGUCCGGCUGGACCUUUCCUUCUGGGGAACCUCAUGGCCUUCACUGGCUGUGGGGGGAACCAGGACUUUUACUGUGAAAAAAUUAGAGUGUUCAAAGCAGGCCUUUGCUCGAAUACAUUAGCAUGGAAUAAUAGAAUAGGACGUGUGGUUCUAUUUUGUUGGUUUCUAGGACCGCCGUAAUGAUUAAUAGGGAUAGUCGGGGGCGUCAGUAUUCAGCUGUCAGAGGUGAAAUUCUUGGAUUUGCUGAAGACUAACUACUGCGAAAGCAUUCGCCAAGGAUGUUUUCAUUAAUCAGGGAACGAAAGUUAGGGGAUCGAAGACGAUCAGAUACCGUCGUAGUCUUAACCAUAAACUAUGCCGACUAGGGAUCGGACGGGCUUCUAUGAUGACCCGUUCGGCACCUUACGAGAAAUCAAAGUUUUUGGGUUCUGGGGGGAGUAUGGUCGCAAGGCUGAAACCUAAAGAAAUUGACGGAAGGGCACCACAAGGCGUGGAGCCUGCGGCUUAAUUUGACUCAAACACGGG
Molecule: ribosomal RNA, 638 nt
Filed under: Penicillium sp.
Lineage: Eukaryota; Fungi; Ascomycota; Eurotiomycetes; Eurotiales; Aspergillaceae
Description: SSU rRNA
Rfam family: Eukaryotic small subunit ribosomal RNA
Source: RNAcentral